AUUUAAUUGAGGGGGGGGACCGAACCCCGCGGCGGCGCAAAAUGGCGGCCGGGCGCGGGACUACAACUCCCAUGAUGCUCCGGCAGCGAGGAACUACAAUUCCCGCCGUGCCUCGCGCGACGGUGGGCGUGGCCUGAGCGCCUCCCUAUAAAUAGGCCCCACCGGGCGGCGCGCGCCCCUCUCGGCCGCCGCCAUCUUGGUGCUUCCCCGGCGCCGCCGCCGCCAUCCGGCUCCAUCCGCCGCCAUCCGCCGCCCCCCGCCCGCCGGGACUGAGCGGGGCUCCGCCGGAACGCCAUGAGGGCCAAGUGGCGUAAGAAGCGAAUGCGCAGGCUGAAGCGCAAGAGGAGGAAGAUGAGGCAGAGGUCCAAGUAACGGCCGGUACCGGGGGCACGGCCCGGAGACGCCCCCGGUGCCCCGGGGCUGUCCCGGUGCCCUCCCGGUGCCCCGGGGCCGUCCCGUUCUUUGCUUUGCGGCAAAAUAAAAUUCGGUUGUUGCUAAAACAGCGUGGGGGUGCUCUGCCGGUAACCGGGGAGGGGCUGGGGCGGGGGGGGGGAACGAACCGGGGAUCCCCCGGUAA
RNAcentral lists this long non-coding RNA (577 nucleotides) under Lonchura striata (white-rumped munia). RNAcentral's name for it is "domestica (Bengalese finch) lncRNA (ENSLSDG00000003370.1)". The record is from RNAcentral. Lineage: Eukaryota; Metazoa; Chordata; Aves; Passeriformes; Estrildidae.